Long non-coding RNA from Zophobas morio, 186 nucleotides. RefSeq lists it as uncharacterized. NCBI's taxonomy places the organism in Eukaryota, Metazoa, Arthropoda, Insecta, Coleoptera, Tenebrionidae. The transcript is spliced from 3 exons. The record is from RefSeq and is a predicted model, not a curated record.
CUAAGUCUCGGCGGAAAGCUGCGAGAGUUAGAAGGGAAUUUUUAUUAAAGAAAGACUGUUUGGCCGCAAAAAUUAUAGCUCCUAGUCAGCUGAGCCCCGAGGAAUUAAGGAAUAACCGGUUAAGUUUGGAAGGAAGAGCUUAUGAGGUGGGUGGCCUUAUACGAAGAAGAAAUAGAAAGAGAAGCU